AGAAACAGCGGUUUCUUGACGAAAUCUCCACCAAAAAUUUGAGAGAUUUGAGGAGGGAAUUGACAGUAAUAUCUUAGUUUAUAUGACAGAGAAAAUAUAGUAUCAAGAUCAAACAAACAGUGUUAUGCGGCUGAAAUUCUGCAAUGUAUCUUUCGUUGUAGAGAUGAAAACUUUGUGACGAAAAGUUUAUGCAGCAAUAUAGGAACAAAAUUUUUUUUUUUUUUGGAUUUUCGGAUAGGGAUAACUAAAUUGCAGCAGCAGUAAGGUAGGAAACCAGAACCUGUUGCAAUUCAC
This 294-nucleotide long non-coding RNA is filed under the name Musa acuminata (dwarf banana). RNAcentral's name for it is "long non-coding RNA (MACU_LNC011163)". Lineage: Eukaryota; Viridiplantae; Streptophyta; Magnoliopsida; Zingiberales; Musaceae. The record is from RNAcentral.